Thunnus maccoyii (southern bluefin tuna) is the source of this 1205-nucleotide RNA transcript. It is a transcript of the gene named BEN domain-containing protein 5-like, with no coding region annotated. NCBI's taxonomy places the organism in Eukaryota, Metazoa, Chordata, Actinopteri, Scombriformes, Scombridae. The transcript has 4 exons. The record is from RefSeq and is a predicted model, not a curated record.
GUCCAUUGUUUUCUAAAAAUUAUUAACACAUCAGUGAGACACACCACUGCACUGGGUGGCAUGUUCCUUCACCCAGAAGGCAAUGGCUUUUUUUUUUUCAGAAAGAGUUUCAAAGACAAACAACGCUGAUAAAAUUUGAACUGUCAGGAAAGCAGUACAUCAGAUGCCACUGUGCAUGCGCAGGAACUAUGUUCCGUUUAGAGCUAAGCUAACUUGUUGUGCUAAAUAUCACAACCUCUUGACUUUAUGCUACACGAUAAAUUGUAAAUAACUUAACCACAAAGUCAAGAGGUUGAUAUGUGGCACAAUAAGCCAGCAAAGUUUUGUAACAGAACCACCUUCUUGAAAAAGAAUGAGUGCAACGAUGUGGCUCAUGGUUAGUUUUACUCUGCACAUAAGAUUUGUUGACAGUAAGAUCCUUUUAAGGGAUAAACCAUCCCUUCCCUUUAAAAUCUGUAAAUACUGUAGCAGGUCAGUUAAAAAAAAACCACGUCAUUACGUAACUGUAUACGCCUCCAGUUUCCUAGCAACACUAAUGCCAACUUCAAGCACAACAACAAUGGAGGACUACAUCGCAGCUUUACAGGUGUUGCUCCUGGCUUUGCAAGCCUACUUCAGCAUGUAAACAUGACUUGUCCAAUGCAUUUGUGCUGCUCAUGGUGACUGCUAUGGACAACGAUUACGAUCAAGAAGAACGGGUCAUGUCUUGUUGGAAGGUGAACCUUCGGCCCAGUCUGAGGUCCUGAGUGCUCUGGACCAGGUUUUCAUUAAGGAUAUCUCCGGUCCCUGCCACUGAAAAACACCCCCACAGCAUGAUGCUGCCACCAUGAUGCUUCACCAUUGGGAUGGUAAUGGGCAGAUCCACAUUGAAAAAGACAUCUGGCUGCGCGAGGAGGUGUGUAGAGGAAUCCACUCCACAACAAAGGACUCACUCUUUGUAGAAGAGUUGGCUGUCGCCAUCUGGGGUACAGGAGAGUUGAGGGGAAGAAGAGUGUUUGGGAAGGAAUACCCAACAAAAAAUACCAAAGCAAAGCCUCCCUUAACACCAUACAAGCUUGGAACCCUCAAAGUGCUUCAAUGAUGGUUGAAGGGACACAACAUGGCGAAGACAAAGGGAGCUGGUGGGAUACUUAACUCACCCUUCGUGUCAAAUUAAGGCUAAUGUCAAUUAAGUGUGUAAUAAAUUAAUUUUCUACUUCAAAUCA